AGAGUUUGAUCCUGGCUCAGAAUCAACGCUGGCGGCGCGCUUAACACAUGCAAGUCGCACGAGAAAGUGGGAAACCAUGAGUACAGUGGCGUACGGGUGAGUAACACGUGGGUAAUCUACCUCUGAGUGGGGAAUAACCCUGGGAAACCGGGGCUAAUACCGCAUAAUCUCGAGAGAGGAAAGCAGCAAUGCGCUGAGAGAGGAGCCCGCGGCCGAUUAGCUAGUUGGUAGGGUAAGAGCCUACCAAGGCAGAGAUCGGUAGCCGGCCUGAGAGGGCACACGGCCACACUGGCACUGAAACACGGGCCAGACUCCUACGGGAGGCAGCAGUGGGGAAUCUUGCACAAUGGGGGAAACCCUGAUGCAGCGACGCCGCGUGAGCGAUGAAGCCCUUCGGGGUGUAAAGCUCUUUCGUCAGGGAAGAUCAUGACGGUACCUGGAGAAGCAGCUGCGGCUAACUACGUGCCAGCAGCCGCGGUAAUACGUAGGCAGCGAGCGUUGUUCGGAGUUACUGGGCGUAAAGGGUGUGUAGGCGGUUCUUUAAGUUUGGUGUGAAAUCUCCCGGCUCAACCGGGAGGGUGCGCCGAAUACUGAGGGACUUGGAGUGCGGGAGAGGAAAGUGGAAUUCCUGGUGUAGCGGUGAAAUGCGUAGAUAUCAGGAGGAACACCGGUGGUGUAGACGGCUUUCUGGACCGUAACUGACGCUGAGACACGAAAGCGUGGGUAGCAAACAGGAUUAGAUACCCUGGUAGUCCACGCCCUAAACGAUGCAUAUUUGGUGUGGGUCAUUCAGUUGAUCCGUGCCGGAGCUAACGCGUUAAAUAUGCCGCCUGGGGAGUACAGUCGCAAGGCUGAAACUCAAAGGAAUUGACGGGGCCCGCACAAGCGGUGGAGCAUGUGGUUCAAUUCGACGCACGCGAAGAACCUUACCUGGGCUCGAACGGCUGGUCAACGGAGGUGGAAACAUCUUUACCCGGCAA
RNAcentral lists this ribosomal RNA (980 nucleotides) under uncultured bacterium. RNAcentral describes it as "bacterial SSU rRNA". It matches the Rfam family "Bacterial small subunit ribosomal RNA", at positions 8 to 1022 of the family's 1533-position model. The record is from RNAcentral.